RNAcentral lists this long non-coding RNA (1590 nucleotides) under Oryctolagus cuniculus (rabbit). Its description in RNAcentral is "lncRNA (ENSOCUG00000034919.1)". Lineage: Eukaryota; Metazoa; Chordata; Mammalia; Lagomorpha; Leporidae. The record is from RNAcentral.
GAAAAAGAAAAGAGAAAAAAAAAAAAAAAAAAACACGACAAAAAACAGCACUGUGACCUGGCUUGUAUCUGCCGCUCCUUGAAAUGAUCUGUAAGGUGGCUGAUGGCAAAUGCACUCUGCCUGGGGAGCAGUCACCCACUCACUGCCCCUCCCUCCCCACCCGCUCCCGCACCCUGCCCAUUCUGCACAGCCCCGGCAAUCCCUCUCCCCACCAAGCACAGGGGAGGGUACCAGGCUCCCUGCCUGCCUGGAGCCUCGGGGUCCGUUUGCCCCAGCAGCCCUACAAGGCUCACUGGAACAAGCAGGGGGAAUGUUCCUCUCUCUCUGUCUAUCUCUUCCCCCCCUCCCCCCACCAAUCCUGGGUGACUGCAGUUCUGUUCCAGAGAGCUGAACACCCUCUACACCUGCUGAGGGCGUCCUGUCCAAUGGCUCCAGCUCAGGCAGAAGCAGAACAGCCCGUGUACACACUGGGGAGGCUGCACUUUCAACAAAUACCCUGCUUGGCCAAAGAAUCUCCAACCCCAAAAUAUCUUCCCACUUGGGGCUGUAGGACUCUCCCAGGCAUCUACUCCCCUGAUGAGUGUGUAUAACACGGACAGGUCUUUAGCCUGGUCUUUAGUCCUCCUGGUGGUUGCCAAGGGCUCCUGGGUCAUGGGUGCUUGGUGACUCUUGAGCCCUGCUCCCAAGGAACCUGCACAAAGAGACCCCCAUCUUCAUAUUUGGAGCCCCAACAGCUGGCCGGGCUGCGGGGGACAGGAAGCUACACAUCACGCUCCUCUCCACAGCUGAGCAGCUCAGGCUAGGAAGGCGACAGUGGGGUGAGGUGGGAGCACCAGGUGACCACCGUCCUGGGGAAGGGACGGGGUGGGUUCCCAGAGAGCACAGUCUGAGGUAGCAAACAGUGAAGCCCAUUUCCCAGCUGGAGAAGCAAGGCCAGGGGGUGCAGGAUAACCUGUCCAUCGCACACAGCAGCUACUGCCGGGAUGAAGGGUAAUACCCAGGCACCCGCCUCUCCGUGGACAAAGGAUGUGGCCAUGCCUGAGGUCCUUGGAGAAGAUGCAGAGCCUGCAGCAUAUUGACAACUGCCUCUCGGGAGGAAGAAGCCACUGGGACCAGGGCUGCCGCCUCCUCCUCCCCCUCCUCCUCCUCCCUUCCAGGGCAACACCCGCCGGAGCUCGGAGCUCAGAGCUCAGCAGACACCCACCCGGCCCUCAAAGCAACAGAGUCCUCUAGAUAGAGCCCUCCUCCAAGUCCCUGUCUCUGCCACAGAAGCCAUCGCCCCUCAGAUGCAUCGGCAUCUUUCUAGAGUGUCCGACUCCGUGCGGCCUUUCUCCCUCUUCUGGCCAUGCCUCGGGGGCCCCUAAGGAGAAGCCCUCUUGCUAGUCUCCCACCCUGGGAGGCCCAGGGAGGCGAGGCUGGUUCCACAACAAAGGACAAGAGCAGAAGCUGAGACAGCCGGGACCACCGGCAUGCACUCGCCUCUUCCCAGAUGAAGUGGCCUGGCUCCCAACUCCACCUCGCUUCACUGUGCCCCCAGUCUCUGCCCACCUGGCUGCUCAGUCAAUCAGGAAAGGAGCGUGAGCUGAGAGC